GAUGAACGCUGGCGGCGUGCCUAAUACAUGCAAGUCGAGCGAACAGACGAGGGGCUUGCUCCUUUGACGUUAGCGGCGGACGGGUGAGUAACACGUGGAUAACCUACCUAUAAGACUGGGAUAACUUCGGGAAACCGGAGCUAAUACCGGAUAACAUGUUGAACCGCAUGGUUCAACAGUGAAAGACGGUCUUGCUGUCACUUAUAGAUGGAUCCGCGCCGCAUUAGCUAGUUGGUAAGGUAACGGCUUACCAAGGCAACGAUGCGUAGCCGACCUGAGAGGGUGAUCGGCCACACUGGAACUGAGACACGGUCCAGACUCCUACGGGAGGCAGCAGUAGGGAAUCUUCCGCAAUGGGCGGAAGCCUGACGGAGCAACGCCGCGUGAGUGAAGAAGGUCUUCGGAUCGUAAAACUCUGUUAUUAGGGAAGAACAAAUGUGUAAGUAACUAUGCACGUCUUGACGGUACCUAAUCAGAAAGCCACGGCUAACUACGUG
This 497-nucleotide ribosomal RNA is filed under the name uncultured bacterium. Its description in RNAcentral is "partial 16S ribosomal RNA". It matches the Rfam family "Bacterial small subunit ribosomal RNA", at positions 28 to 507 of the family's 1533-position model. The record is from RNAcentral.